AUGCACAUCGUCAUCUUCCCGUGGCUCGCGUUCGGGCACAUGAUCCCCUUGCUGGAGCUUGCGGAGCGCCUGGUGGCGCGCGGCCACCGCGUCUCCUUCGUCUCCACGCCGCGCAAUCUCAGCCGGCUCCGGCCGGUCGCCGGCGUCCACUUCGUCGCCCUGCCGCUGCCCCGCGUGGACGGCCUCCCGGAGGGAGCCGAGGCCACCUCCGACCUCCCGCCCAGUCCCGGCAACUUGAGCGACCUUCUACUGAAGGCCGCCGACGGCCUCGUCGGGCCAUUCUCCGCCUUCCUCGACGAGGGCGAGAAGCCAGACUGGCUCGUCCUCGACAACCUCCACUACCUAGCCGCAGCCGCCGCCGGCGACCGAGGCGUGCCGUCCGUGAUGUUCCUCCCCUUCGCCGCCGCGUCGACCGCGCUCUGGGGCGUGCCGCGUGUGUCCACGGUGGUGGACCCAGAGCUAGGGGCGACCGUGCCCCAGCGCUUCGUGCUAACCUACCAGUGCUGCAAGAUCGUCGCCCAGCGGUGCUGCGUGGAGUUCGACCCCGAGGCCGUGCCUCUGCUGCCCGGCGUCCUGGGAAAGCCGUUCGCCCCUAUGGGCCUGCUGCCGCCGCCGCCUCUGAGUCUGAGGGCGAAUUCGAAUAAUGAAGGUGGCGAGCUCGUGUCAUGGCUGGACCGGCAUCCGGCGAAAUCCGUCGUCUACGUCGCGCUGGGAACCGAAGCGCCGCUGACCACCGAGCUGGUGCACGAGCUAGCCAUCGGCCUGGAGCUCGCCGGGACGCCAUUCCUGUGGGCUCUGAGGAAGGUCGGCGACUAAGACGUUCUUCCUCCGGGCUUCGAGGAGCGCGCCAAGGGCCGUGGCAUCGUGGCGAUGGGGAUGGUUCCGCAGACGAGGAUGCUAGCGCACGGCUCCGUGGGCGCGUUCCUCACGCACAGCGGGCCGGGCUCCGCCAUCGAGGGGAUCCAGUAUGGGCAUCCCCUCAUCAUGCUGCCCUUCUUCGGAGACCAACAGACGGGGGCUCAGUUCAUGGAGAGGAAGAAGGUGGGUCUGCUGGUGCCGAGGAACGGGGAGGAUGGAGUGUCUUUUGACCGGCAAGGCGUCGCGUCGACGGUCCGGGCCGUCGUGGUGGACGAGCAAGCAGGACGCCUCUUCGCCGCCAAUGCCAAGAAGUGGCAGCAGGUUGUCGCGGACACUGCCUGCCAUGAGAGGUACAUCGAUGAGUUCGUUCAGCAACUCAGGUUCUACAAGGACCAGUGA
Molecule: ribosomal RNA, 1257 nt
Filed under: Triticum aestivum (bread wheat)
Lineage: Eukaryota; Viridiplantae; Streptophyta; Magnoliopsida; Poales; Poaceae
Description: partial small subunit ribosomal RNA
Source: RNAcentral